Molecule: ribosomal RNA, 253 nt
Filed under: uncultured bacterium
Lineage: Bacteria
Description: partial 16S ribosomal RNA
Rfam family: Bacterial small subunit ribosomal RNA
Source: RNAcentral
UACGAAGGGGGCUAGCGUUGCUCGGAUUUACUGGGCGUAAAGGGCGCGUAGGCGGAUUUCUAAGUCGGGGGUGAAAGCCCGGGGCUCAACCUCGGAAUUGCCUUCGAUACUGGAAGUCUUGAGUACGGGAGAGGUGAGUGGAACUCCGAGUGUAGAGGUGAAAUUCGUAGAUAUUCGGAAGAACACCAGUGGCGAAGGCGACUCACUGGCCCGUUACUGACGCUGAGGCGCGAAAGCGUGGGGAGCAAACAGG